CAACGGCACCACGAGGGUUGUACUGUCUCCUUUUUCUAAUCAGUGAAACUAAUCUCCCCGUGAAGAAGCGGGGAUACUACUAUAAGACGAGAAGACCCCAUGGAGCUUUAAACCCAACUACACCCCUAUUUACAACAACUACUUAACCAAUUGGACACUGUAUGCUUGGUUUUAGGUUGGGGCGACCACGGAGUAAAAAAUAACCUCCACGAUAAAUGGGCUUACCCCCUUAUCUAAGAGCCACACCUCUAAGAAUUAAAAUAUUAAUAUAAUAUGAUCCUUUCUUGAUCAACGG
This 295-nucleotide ribosomal RNA is filed under the name Mantidactylus sp. 48 MV-2009. RNAcentral describes it as "partial 16S ribosomal RNA". It matches the Rfam family "Bacterial large subunit ribosomal RNA", at positions 1994 to 2436 of the family's 2925-position model. Lineage: Eukaryota; Metazoa; Chordata; Amphibia; Anura; Mantellidae. The record is from RNAcentral.